CGUCGUCCCGUUAAUCUCAGAUGGAAAAAACGCAAAAUUCUGAAGCAGCCAUGAUGUCGUCUCAGAUGUCGCUUCGUUUCUUUGCGGCUACGUCACAGCGACGACCACCAUUUUGUAUACCUGUCAUCUCGUUUAACUCAGGUACCUAGCAUUAGAAGAGUCCAGCAGGAAUACAU
This 176-nucleotide long non-coding RNA is filed under the name Polistes fuscatus (common paper wasp). Its description in RNAcentral is "uncharacterized LOC122525103". The record is from RNAcentral. Lineage: Eukaryota; Metazoa; Arthropoda; Insecta; Hymenoptera; Vespidae.